RNAcentral lists this transfer RNA (74 nucleotides) under Ipomoea nil (Japanese morning glory). It matches the Rfam family "tRNA". Rfam says of the family: Transfer RNA (tRNA) molecules are approximately 80 nucleotides in length. Their secondary structure includes four short double-helical elements and three loops (D, anti-codon, and T loops). Further hydrogen bonds mediate the characteristic L-shaped molecular structure. tRNAs have two regions of fundamental functional importance: the anti-codon, which is responsible for specific mRNA codon recognition, and the 3' end, to which the tRNAs corresponding amino acid is attached (by aminoacyl-tRNA synthetases). tRNAs cope with the degeneracy of the genetic code in two manners: having more than one tRNA (with a specific anti-codon) for a particular amino acid; and 'wobble' base-pairing, i.e. permitting non-standard base-pairing at the 3rd anti-codon position. Lineage: Eukaryota; Viridiplantae; Streptophyta; Magnoliopsida; Solanales; Convolvulaceae. The record is from Rfam by way of RNAcentral.
ACUCUUGUAGCUCAGUUGGUUAGAGCACCCGUUUAGUAAGCGGGAGGUCUUGAGUUCAACUAUUAACAAGAGCA